AAACAUCUUAGGGAUUGAACUUCUUCAUUGGAAAAAAUCCCAAUAUCAUUUGUUCUUUUGAAGUAAUCCACUCUUCCAGACAUAUUUGCCUGUGGUUAGGUCAAGGAUAGGGGUUGGGUAGAGGCACAAUACAUUAGGAACAGUUGAAAAAAAAAAGGUCAGAAAAUGGUCCCCACAUGAGCAGUCUUGAUGAACAGUACACGUGAACAGUAUCUGUGAACAUUACCAAUGAACAAUAUGUUUGAACAAUACCAAUGAACGGUAUGUGUGAAUACUACACAUGAAUGGUACUAAGUCUGCCCUAAUGAAUCAAAAGCUUUGAUACCAUGGUGAAACCAGAGGUUUUGAAGAGAAUUUUCUAGCAUAUUUCUCAAUGAAUAAAGAUCUGUAUGUGUCUCAUAUAUAUACACAUUAAUCUAGCCUUAGAAUAGGAAGCUAAAUCUAGGGAAGGAAACAAAAAUUAAUUGCAUGAUUACAAGGAAUUAACUAUAUAUAGAAGCUAAAUUAAUUCCUAUAAUUAUUGGAUUCCAACAAAUUCUAACCUGAUUAUUUUAGCUUGAUUUGAAUUUCUUUCCUCAUAAUCAGUGUCCCAUUAAUUUAAUGUGCAAUGCUACCGGAAAAUUUAACAAACUUAAAGAAAAAAACAAUCACAUUUGUGAAUAUGUAACUUUGUAUAAUUGCUGUCAAAAAUUAAUAUGUACUUUUGUUGAAUAUCUUUCUUACUGUGCUCAGGUGAAGUUGACCA
Molecule: unclassified non-coding RNA, 745 nt
Filed under: Hevea brasiliensis (rubber tree)
Lineage: Eukaryota; Viridiplantae; Streptophyta; Magnoliopsida; Malpighiales; Euphorbiaceae
Source: RNAcentral